UGCGGAGGGAUCAUUACUGAGUUAUCAAAACUCCAAACCCUUUGUGAACCUUACCGUCGUUGCCUCGGCGUGAGCUACGGCUACCCUGUAACUACCCUGGAGCUACCCUAGAGUUACCCUAUAGCUACCCUGCACUUACCCUGCAGCUACCCUAUAGCUACCCUGGAGCUACCCUGGAGCUACCCUGUAGUCGGCUUCAGCCCGCCGAAGGACCGUUAAACUCUUGUUUUUUACCAUUGUUUCUCUGAAUUUUAAACUAAAAUUAGUUAAAACUUUCAACAACGGAUCUCUUGGUUCUGGCAUCGAUGAAGAACGCAGCGAAAUGCGAUAAGUAAUGUGAAUUGCAGAAUUCAGUGAAUCAUCGAAUCUUUGAACGCACAUUGCGCCCAUUAGUAUUCUAGUGGGCAUGCCUAUUCGAGCGUCAUUUCGACCCCUAAGCCCCUGUUGCUUAGCGUUGGGAAUCUACGGCGUAGUUCCUCAAAGUUAGUGGCGGAGUUAGGGUACACUCUCAGCGUAGUAAUUUCUCUCGCUCGUGUGGUGGCCCUGGCUGCUAGCCGUUAAAACCCCUAUAUUUUCUAGUGGUUGACCUCGGAUUAGGUAGGAAUACCCGCUGAACUUAAGCAU
RNAcentral lists this ribosomal RNA (624 nucleotides) under Xylariaceae sp. E10217d. RNAcentral's name for it is "eukaryotic LSU rRNA". The stretch from base 271 to 424 matches the Rfam family "5.8S ribosomal RNA". Lineage: Eukaryota; Fungi; Ascomycota; Sordariomycetes; Xylariales; Xylariaceae. The record is from RNAcentral.